This 402-nucleotide ribosomal RNA is filed under the name uncultured bacterium. Its description in RNAcentral is "bacterial SSU rRNA". It matches the Rfam family "Bacterial small subunit ribosomal RNA", at positions 355 to 774 of the family's 1533-position model. The record is from RNAcentral.
UGGGGAAUCUUGCACAAUGGAGGAAACUCUGAUGCAGCGACGCCGCGUGAGCGAAGAAGCCUUUCGGGGUGUAAAGCUCUUACGCCAGGGACGAUAAUGACGGUACCUGGAGAAGCAGCUGCGGCUAACUACGUACCAGCAGCCGCGGUAAUACGUAGGCAGCAAGCGUUGUUCGGAAUUACUGGGCGUAAAGGGUGCGUAGGCGGCGCUCUAAGUUUGGUGUGAAAUCUCCCGGCUUAACUGGGAGGGUGCACUGAAAACUGGGGCGCUCGAGUAUGGGAGAGGAAAGCGGAAUUCCUGGUGUAGCGGUGAAAUGCGUAGAGAUCAGGAGGAACACCUGCGGUGCAGACGGCUUUCUGGACCAUCACUGACGCUGAGGCACGAAAGCGUGGGUAGCAAACA